This 401-nucleotide ribosomal RNA is filed under the name Ephemera sp. EP186. RNAcentral's name for it is "partial 12S ribosomal RNA". The record is from RNAcentral. Lineage: Eukaryota; Metazoa; Arthropoda; Insecta; Ephemeroptera; Ephemeridae.
UAAACUAGGAUUAGAUACCCUAUUAUUCUAAUUGUUAUGAAAAAGGCUUGAGUAGUAAUAGUUAUGUUCUUAAAACUCAAAGAAUUUGGCGGUGUUUUAGUCUUAUCAGAGGAAUUUGCCCCGUGAUCGAUAACCCACGUUUUACUUUACUUAGCUUGGUUAACAGCUUGUAUACCGCCGUCAGCAGGAUAUAUUAGGAAAUAAUAUUCAGGAAUUAUAAAUAUAACAUAUGUCAGGUCAAGGUGCAGUUUAUAGUUAAGAGGAGGUGAAUUACAAUAUGAAGAUAUAUUACGGAGUUGGGAGUGUAAACUUCUAAUAAAGGUGGAUUUGGGUGUAAUAAAAUAAAGAUAGAUUUUAUGAUAUAAAGCUCUAAAACAUGCACACAUCGCCCGUCGCCUCUC